CGCUGGCGGCGUGCUUAACACAUGCAAGUCGAACGAGACGAAUUAGAAGCUUGCUUUUGACGAGUCGAGUGGCAAACGGGUGAGUAACGCGUAGACAACCUGCCGCAAAGAUGGGGACAACAGUCCGAAAGGACUGCUAAUACCGAAUGUUGUGUCACAUUCGCAUGAAUGAGACAUUAAAGAUGGCCUCUACUUGUAAGCUAUCGCUUUGCGAUGGGUCUGCGUCUGAUUAGCUAGUUGGUGGGGCAACGGCCUACCAAGGCGACGAUCAGUAGCCGGUCUGAGAGGAUGAACGGCCACAUUGGAACUGAGACACGGUCCAGACUCCUACGGGAGGCAGCAGUGGGGAAUCUUCCGCAAUGGGCGCAAGCCUGACGGAGCAACGCCGCGUGAGUGAAGAAGGCCUUCGGGUCGUAAAGCUCUGUUGUCGGGGACGAAUGUUACUGCUUAAAAUAUAGGUAGUAAAUGACGGUACCUGACGAGGAAGCCACG
Molecule: ribosomal RNA, 492 nt
Filed under: Selenomonas sp. LP606
Lineage: Bacteria; Bacillati; Bacillota; Negativicutes; Selenomonadales; Selenomonadaceae
Description: bacterial SSU rRNA
Rfam family: Bacterial small subunit ribosomal RNA
Source: RNAcentral